RNAcentral lists this ribosomal RNA (253 nucleotides) under uncultured prokaryote. Its description in RNAcentral is "partial 16S ribosomal RNA". It matches the Rfam family "Bacterial small subunit ribosomal RNA", at positions 525 to 777 of the family's 1533-position model. The record is from RNAcentral.
ACGUAGGGUGCGAGCGUUAAUCGGAAUUACUGGGCGUAAAGUGUGCGCAGGCGGCCGAGCAAGUCGAGUGUGAAAGCCCCGGGCUUAACUUGGGAAUUGCGCUCGAAACUACUUGGCUCGAGCAGAGUAGAGGCAGGUGGAAUUCCCGGUGUAGCGGUGGAAUGCGUAGAGAUCGGGAAGAACAUCGGUGGCGAAGGCGGCCUGCUGGGCUCUUGCUGACACUGAGGCGCGACAGCGUGGGGAGCAAACAGGA